UAAACCGGAGGAAGGUGGGGAGUGACGUCAAAUCAUCAUGCCCCUUAUGACCUGGGCUACACACGUGCUACAAUGGUUGGUACAACGAGUUGCGAGUCGGUGACGGCGAGCUAAUCUCUUAAAGCCAAUCUCAGUUCGGAUUGUAGGCUGCAACUCGCCUACAUGAAGUCGGAAUCGCUAGUAAUCGCGGAUCAGCACGCCGCGGUGAAUUACCGGUUCCCGGGCCUU
This 228-nucleotide ribosomal RNA is filed under the name uncultured Streptococcus sp. RNAcentral's name for it is "partial 16S ribosomal RNA". It matches the Rfam family "Bacterial small subunit ribosomal RNA", at positions 1159 to 1382 of the family's 1533-position model. Lineage: Bacteria; Bacillati; Bacillota; Bacilli; Lactobacillales; Streptococcaceae. The record is from RNAcentral.